UACAUAUGGGGCAAGCGUUGUUCGGAAUUACUGGGCAUAAAGGGUGCGUAGGUGGUCUAUUAAGUCAGGGGUGAAAUCCCGCGGCCCAACCGUGGAACGGCCUUGAUACUGAUGGACUUGAGUGCGUGAGGGUAGGGGGAACGAGCAGUGUAGCGGUGAAAUGCGUAGAUAUUGCUCGGAAGGCCAGAGCCGAAGGGGCCCUACUGGACGUAACUGACACUGAGGCACGAAAGCGUGGGGAGCAACAGG
RNAcentral lists this ribosomal RNA (249 nucleotides) under uncultured bacterium. Its description in RNAcentral is "partial 16S ribosomal RNA". It matches the Rfam family "Bacterial small subunit ribosomal RNA", at positions 524 to 775 of the family's 1533-position model. The record is from RNAcentral.